GACGAACGCUGGCGGCGUGCCUAAUACAUGCAAGUAGAACGCACAGUUUAUACCGUAGCUUGCUACACCAUAAACUGUGAGUUGCGAACGGGUGAGUAACGCGUAGGUAACCUGCCUGGUAGCGGGGGAUAACUAUUGGAAACGAUAGCUAAUACCGCAUAAUAUUAAUUAUUGCAUGAUAAUUGAUUGAAAGAUGCAAUUGCAUCACUACCAGAUGGACCUGCGUUGUAUUAGCUAGUAGGUGAGGUAACGGCUCACCUAGGCGACGAUACAUAGCCGACCGGAGAGGGUGAUCGGCCACACUGGGACUGAGACACGGCCCAGACUCCUACGGGAGGCAGCAGUAGGGAAUCUUCGGCAAUGGACGAAAGUCUGACCGAGCAACGCCGCGUGAGUGAAGAAGGUUUUCGGAUCGUAAAGCUCUGUUGUAAGAGAAGAACGGGUGUGAGAGUGGAAAGUUCACACUGUGACGGUAUCUUACCAGAAAGGGACGGCUAACUACGUG
RNAcentral lists this ribosomal RNA (505 nucleotides) under uncultured bacterium. Its description in RNAcentral is "partial 16S ribosomal RNA". It matches the Rfam family "Bacterial small subunit ribosomal RNA", at positions 28 to 507 of the family's 1533-position model. The record is from RNAcentral.